RNAcentral lists this ribosomal RNA (293 nucleotides) under uncultured microorganism. Its description in RNAcentral is "partial 16S ribosomal RNA". It matches the Rfam family "Bacterial small subunit ribosomal RNA", at positions 505 to 796 of the family's 1533-position model. The record is from RNAcentral.
GUGCCCACCACCGCGGUAAUACGUAGGGUGCGAGCGUUGUCCGGAAUUACUGGGGCGUAAAGAGCUCGUAGGCGGUUUGUCAUGUCGUCUGUGAAAUCCCUCGGCUUAACCGGGGGCGUGCAGGCGAUACGGGCAGACUUGAGUACUACAGGGGAGACUGGAAUUCCUGGUGUAGCGGUGAAAUGCGCAGAUAUCAGGAGGAACACCGGUGGCGAAGGCGGGUCUCUGGGUAGUAACUGACGCUGAGGAGCGAAAGCAUGGGUAGCGAACAGGAUUAGAUACCCUGGUAGUCC